AGUGAACGCUGGCGGUAGGCCUAACACAUGCAAGUCGAACGGCAGCACAGUAAGAGCUUGCUCUUACGGGUGGCGAGUGGCGGACGGGUGAGGAAUACAUCGGAAUCUACUUUUUCGUGGGGGAUAACGUAGGGAAACUUACGCUAAUACCGCAUACGACCUACGGGUGAAAGCAGGGGAUCUUCGGACCUUUCGCGAUUGAAUGAGCCGAUGUCGGAUUAGCUAGUUGGCGGGGUAAAGGCCCACCAAGGCGACGAUCCGUAGCUGGUCUGAGAGGAUGAUCAGCCACACUGGAACUGAGAAACGGUCCAGACUCCUACGGGAGGCAGCAGUGGGGAAUAUUGGACAAUGGGCGAAAGCCUGAUGCAGCAAUACCGCGUGGGUGAAGAAGGCCUUCGGGUUGUAAAGCCCUUUUGUUGGGAAAGAAAAGCAGCAGGUUAAUACCCCGCUGUUCUGACGGUACCCAAAGAAUAAGCACCGGCUAACUUCGUG
Molecule: ribosomal RNA, 492 nt
Filed under: uncultured bacterium
Lineage: Bacteria
Description: partial 16S ribosomal RNA
Rfam family: Bacterial small subunit ribosomal RNA
Source: RNAcentral